Pipistrellus kuhlii (Kuhl's pipistrelle) is the source of this 373-nucleotide long non-coding RNA. RefSeq lists it as uncharacterized. The transcript has 2 exons. NCBI's taxonomy places the organism in Eukaryota, Metazoa, Chordata, Mammalia, Chiroptera, Vespertilionidae. The record is from RefSeq and is a predicted model, not a curated record.
CUGCCAGCUCUGCCUGUUGAAAAUGAAGAGGUGACGGUAACAUCUUCGUCAUCCGCCUGCAAAGGACCUGAUCAGACCGAGGCCAACACUAAAGGGCAACGUGGCCCCAGCAAGUCUGGGCUGAGCCGGACCUGGCAGCAAAGCCGGUGUCACAGAUGCCUCAGGGGCCAGCAGGUCAGGGAAAUGUGUGAAGCCAGCCGGUGCAGGAUGACCUGGAGGGACGGACACUUCCUGUGCCAAAGUGGAGAUCUUAGGUGCCCCACCCUAAAUGAUAUGAUAAUAUGGUUUCUCGGCCCUGGUUGGGUAGCUCAGUUUGUUAGAGCAUCAUCCCGAUACACCAAGGUUGUGGGUUUGAUCCCUGGUCAGGGCACAU